AUUGAACGCUGGCGGCAGGCCUAACACAUGCAAGUCGAGCGGAUGAAGGGAGCUUGCUCCUGGAUUCAGCGGCGGACGGGUGAGUAAUGCCUAGGAAUCUGCCUGGUAGGGGGGGAUAACGUCCGGAAACGGGCGCUAAUACCGCUUACGUCCUGAGGGAGAAAGUGGGGGAUCUUCGGACCUCACGCUAUCAGAUGAGCCUAGGUCGGAUUAGUUAGUUGGUGGGUUAAAGGCCUACCAAGGCAAAGAUCCGUAACUGGUCUGAGGGGAAGAUGAGUCACACUGGAAGUGCGACACGGUCCAGACUCCUACGGGGGGCAGGAGUGGGGAAUAUUGGAGAGUGGGAGAAAGUUGGACCCAGCCUUGGCGCGUGGGUAAAGAAGGGCUUCGGAUUGUAAAGCACUUUAGGUUGGGGAGAAGGGCAGAAAGUUAAAACCUGCCUGUUUUGACGUUACCAAAAGAAAAAGCACCGGCAAAUUUGGU
Molecule: ribosomal RNA, 483 nt
Filed under: uncultured bacterium
Lineage: Bacteria
Description: partial 16S ribosomal RNA
Rfam family: Bacterial small subunit ribosomal RNA
Source: RNAcentral